This 76-nucleotide transfer RNA is filed under the name Bryobacterales bacterium. RNAcentral describes it as "tRNA-Thr". It matches the Rfam family "tRNA". From Rfam's summary of the family: Transfer RNA (tRNA) molecules are approximately 80 nucleotides in length. Their secondary structure includes four short double-helical elements and three loops (D, anti-codon, and T loops). The record is from RNAcentral. Lineage: Bacteria; Pseudomonadati; Acidobacteriota; Terriglobia; Bryobacterales.
GCCGACGUAGCUCAGCCGGUAGAGCGCGUCCUUGGUAAGGACGAGGUCACGGGUUCGAGUCCCGUCGUCGGCUCCA